This 253-nucleotide ribosomal RNA is filed under the name uncultured bacterium. RNAcentral describes it as "partial 16S ribosomal RNA". It matches the Rfam family "Bacterial small subunit ribosomal RNA", at positions 524 to 776 of the family's 1533-position model. The record is from RNAcentral.
GACGGAGGAUGCAAGCGUUAUCCGGAAUGAUUGGGCGUAAAGCGUCCGCAGGUGGCAGUUCAAGUCUGCUGUCAAAGACCGGGGCUUAACUUCGGAAAGGCAGUGGAAACUGAACAGCUAGAGUAUGGUAGGGGCAGAGGGAAUUCCUUGUGUAGCGGUGAAAUGCGUAGAGAUCAGGAAGAACAUCGGUGGCGAAGGCGCUCUGCUGGACCAUAACUGACACUCAGGGACGAAAGCUAGGGGAGCGAAUGGG